CCUACGGGUGGCAGCAGUAAGGAAUCUUCCACAAUGGGCGAAAGCCUGAUGGAGCAACGCCGCGUGGGUGAAGAAGGUCUUCGGAGCGUAAAACCCUGUUGUUAGAGGAGAAAGUGCGUGAGAGUAACUGUUCACGUUUCGACGGUAUCUAACCAGAAAGCCACGGCUAACUACGUGCCAGCAGCCGCGGCAAUACGUAGGUGGCAAUCGUUAUCCGGCUUUUUUGGGCGUAAAGGGAACUGAGGCGGUAUUUUAAGUCUGAUGUGAAAGCCUUCGGCUUAACCGGAGUAUUGCAUUUGAAACUGGGAGACUUGAGUGCAGAAGAGGAGGGUGGAAUGCCAUGUGUAGCGGUGAAAUGCGUAGAUAUAUGGAAGAACACCAGUGGCGAAAGCGGCUCUCUGGUCUGUAACUGACGCUGAGGUUCGAAAGCGUGGGUAGCAAACAGGAUUAGAUACCCGGGUAGUC
Molecule: ribosomal RNA, 465 nt
Filed under: uncultured bacterium
Lineage: Bacteria
Description: partial 16S ribosomal RNA
Rfam family: Bacterial small subunit ribosomal RNA
Source: RNAcentral